GCUAUACAUGCAGUCGAGCGGACAGAAGGGAGCUUGCUCCCGGAUGUUAGCGGCGGACGGGUGAGUAACACGUGGGUAACCUGCCUGUAAGACUGGGAUAACUCCGGGAAACCGGAGCUAAUACCGGAUAGUUCCUUGAACCGCAUGGUUCAAGGAUGAAAGACGGUUUCGGCUGUCACUUACAGAUGGACCCGCGGCGCAUUAGCUAGUUGGUGAGGUAACGGCUCACCAAGGCGACGAUGCGUAGCCGACCUGAGAGGGUGAUCGGCCACACUGGGACUGAGACACGGCCCAGACUCCUACGGGAGGCAGCAGUAGGGAAUCUUCCGCAAUGGACGAAAGUCUGACGGAGCAACGCCGCGUGAGUGAUGAAGGUUUUCGGAUCGUAAAGCUCUGUUGUUAGGGAAGAACAAGUGCAAGAGUAACUGCUUGCACCUUGACGGUACCUAACCAGAAAGCCACGGCUAACUACGUGCCAGCAGCCGCGGUAAUACGUAGGUGGCAAGCGUUGUCCGGAAUUAUUGGGCGUAAAGGGCUCGCAGGCGGUUUCUUAAGUCUGAUGUGAAAGCCCCCGGCUCAACCGGGGAGGGUCAUUGGAAACUGGGAAACUUGAGUGCAGAAGAGGAGAGUGGAAUUCCACGUGUAGCGGUG
Molecule: ribosomal RNA, 651 nt
Filed under: bacterium nfme09x12p2
Lineage: Bacteria
Description: bacterial SSU rRNA
Rfam family: Bacterial small subunit ribosomal RNA
Source: RNAcentral